RNAcentral lists this ribosomal RNA (497 nucleotides) under uncultured bacterium. RNAcentral describes it as "partial 16S ribosomal RNA". It matches the Rfam family "Bacterial small subunit ribosomal RNA", at positions 28 to 507 of the family's 1533-position model. The record is from RNAcentral.
GAUGAACGCUGGCGGCGUGCCUAAUACAUGCAAGUCGAGCGAACAGAUGAGGAGCUUGCUCCUCUGACGUUAGCGGCGGACGGGUGAGUAACACGUGGAUAACCUACCUAUAAGACUGGGAUAACUUCGGGAAACCGGAGCUAAUACCGGAUAAUAUAUUGAACCGCAUGGUUCAAUAGUGAAAGACGGUUUUGCUGUCACUUAUAGAUGGAUCCGCGCCGCAUUAGCUAGUUGGUAAGGUAACGGCUUACCAAGGCAACGAUGCGUAGCCGACCGGAGAGGGGGAUCGGCCACACUGGAACUGAGACACGGUCCAGACUCCUACGGGAGGCAGCAGUAGGGAAUCUUCCGCAAUGGGCGAAAGCCUGACGGAGCAACGCCGCGUGAGUGAUGAAGGUCUUCGGAUCGUAAAACUCUGUUAUUAGGGAAGAACAAAUGUGUAAGUAACUAUGCACGUCUUGACGGUACCUAAUCAGAAAGCCACGGCUAACUACGUG